UACGUAGGGUGCGAGCGUUGUCCGGAACUAUUGGGCGUAAAGAGCUCGUAGGCGGUUUGUUGCGUCUAUCGUGAAAACCUGCAGCUUAACUGUGGGCUUGCGGUGGAUACGGGCAGACUUGAGUUCGGUAGGGGAGACUGGAAUUCCUGGUGUAGCGGUGAAAUGCGCAGAUAUCAGGAGGAACACCGGUGGCGAAGGCGGGUCUCUGGGCCGAUACUGACGCUGAGGAGCGAAAGCGUGGGGAGCGAACAGG
This 253-nucleotide ribosomal RNA is filed under the name uncultured bacterium. RNAcentral's name for it is "partial 16S ribosomal RNA". It matches the Rfam family "Bacterial small subunit ribosomal RNA", at positions 524 to 776 of the family's 1533-position model. The record is from RNAcentral.